Molecule: ribosomal RNA, 538 nt
Filed under: Fusarium solani
Lineage: Eukaryota; Fungi; Ascomycota; Sordariomycetes; Hypocreales; Nectriaceae
Description: eukaryotic LSU rRNA
Rfam family: 5.8S ribosomal RNA (bases 152-305)
Source: RNAcentral
GCCUGUGCGGUACGAUUCGUAGGUGUGCUGCGGACCUAAAACGUUGCUUCGGGCGGGAACAGACGGCCCUGUAACAACGGGCCGCCCCCGCCAGAGGACCCCUAACUCUGUUUUUAUAAUGUUUUUCUGAGUAAACAAGCAAAUAAAUUAAAACUUUCAACAACGGAUCUCUUGGCUCUGGCAUCGAUGAAGAACGCAGCGAAAUGCGAUAAGUAAUGUGAAUUGCAGAAUUCAGUGAAUCAUCGAAUCUUUGAACGCACAUUGCGCCCGCCAGUAUUCUGGCGGGCAUGCCUGUUCGAGCGUCAUUACAACCCUCAGGCCCCCGGGCCUGGCGUUGGGGAUCGGCGGAAGCCCCCUGUGGGCACACGCCGUCCCUCAAAUACAGUGGCGGUCCCGCCGCAGCUUCCAUUGCGUAGUAGCUAACACCUCGCAACUGGAGAGCGGCGCGGCCAUGCCGUAAAACACCCAACUUCUGAAUGUUGACCUCGAAUCAGGUAGGAAUACCCGCUGAACUUAAGCAUAUCAAUAAGCGGAGGAA